GCUUACGGCCACACCUCCCUGAGCAACCCGAUCUCGCUUGAUCUCGGAAGCUAAGCAGGGUCGGGCCCGGUUAGUAACUUGGAUGGGAGACCGCCUGGGAAUAGCCAGGUGCUUAAAGCC
This 120-nucleotide ribosomal RNA is filed under the name Esox lucius (northern pike). The record is from RNAcentral. Lineage: Eukaryota; Metazoa; Chordata; Actinopteri; Esociformes; Esocidae.